CGCUGUGGAGCCAAGAACACACAAGUCCUGCGGCAUUGUCUCAUGUGUGUCUGAAGAUCCCAAGUCUUCCUCUCUGCUGUGAAGCAAGGCCCAUUUGCACACGAGGUCUAUGCUGUGUGGAGGGUGAACUUGGUCACAGACUUUCUAGCAGAUGUAGAAACCAAAGUAUCCAGAAAAAUGGGACAUAUUUCAUGAAGAAUCAUGUGUUUUUCUGAAGCAAAAAUCUUCUUAAGCUGUGUCAGGAAAUGGAAACUCAAUUAGAACAAUACAAUGGCAACAGAAAGCCACAGGUGGCCCUUUUAGUCUGCUCCUAUGAGCAGCUGACCUCUGGAUUUUGUUUAAAGUGUCCAACUCCAGAAUUUUACUUUCUGGGUUGACAAGGAAAUACGCUGAAGGAUAUUUGGUGAGAAUCACAGGACAAGACAACCCAGAUGGCAUCUUCAGAGAAACAUUUCUGUUGAAACCUCUCCAAAAGAUCAAAAUCAUUGUUCUUCACCAUCUUCCAGUUUCUCUGUGUCCCUCUCCCAACCAUCACAGUUGCUCAGGAGGGUGGCCCACCCAUACAACCAUUGUACCACAGGAAGCUUUUGAACAAGUCAUGUUUAUUAAGGCAUAAUUUAGAUAUGAUAAACUACAGCUGGAUCAGUUUUUGACAAAUGCGUAUAGACCUGAAGCCAUCACCACAAUCUAGGUACUGGUACUCUAUUUCCAUAACUUUGUGAAUGAUCAAACAUGGGAAGUGAGAUACAGAGCAGACCCAUAGAAUGGCAGAUGUCCUAAACAGCACUCUGGCCUCAGAAUCAGCCCUUAAGGCAUGCAGAUCCGGCUGAAAAGCCCAUGAGAGUAUUUCAGGCAUGGAAGCCAAGACACCCUGGGG
Molecule: non-coding RNA, 877 nt
Organism: Oryctolagus cuniculus (rabbit)
Lineage: Eukaryota; Metazoa; Chordata; Mammalia; Lagomorpha; Leporidae
Source: RefSeq, a predicted model, not a curated record